Jatropha curcas is the source of this 2270-nucleotide non-coding RNA. NCBI's taxonomy places the organism in Eukaryota, Viridiplantae, Streptophyta, Magnoliopsida, Malpighiales, Euphorbiaceae. The record is from RefSeq and is a predicted model, not a curated record.
GAGAAAAAAAAAUGAAAAAGAAUGACUCUCUCUCUCUCGUUCAAUCUCCCCGACGAGAGGAACUCACCUAUGGUCUUGAUUUGCGAGGUAGAAGCCUGAAACAAGAAAGUGACUGGAACUCAAGCGAUGUCGCGCGAUGAGGUUUUCGGUGAUCCACACCGUUGCCGGUGGUUGCAGCAUGAAGGAGGGGUGCCGAUCGUUUCAUCUCCUCUGUGUGAUUUUUUCCCCUCUGUUAAACUGAGUUUCCGAUGGAGAAUGGUGAAGCCACCAUGAUCGACAGUCCCUUUAGCGACUUCUAGGGUUAUUUCUGGUCUCUAGGGUACCCAUCUCGUUAAUCAGACCUGAGAUCGGAGAUCUCCUCAUGAAACGGAGCAAAUUGAUGUAAAAAGUUGGCAUUUCUGGCUGUUUGGAUUUCCCGGCCACCGUGGACGACGGCGCCGGCUACUGUUUGGUGACCGGCUGACUAGUCACUGGUGAGACCUCCAGGAAGCAGAAAUACCUGCUUCUCACACUAAACCAGAUUUUGAAACCCGAAAUUACAGAGGGUAUAUAUUUAUGAUUUAGCAAUUUAAAUUUAGUUUGUCAUAUUUCAGUAUAAUUGCAAGUUGGAAAAUUAUGUUUAUUGAAUUAAAUUAGUUUUGAUUAAGAUAACUAAGUUAAUUGUUUGAACUUGAUAAUACGAUUAAUCAUUAGUGAAAUUGACAAAUUAUUAGAAUUAGCAAAACUAAAGAUAACAAGAAUUUGUUAACUAUACGGGUUUGAAAUUAAGACAGUUUAAUGAGUUAAUAAAAAAUUGGAAUAGAUAUUAAUUUGCUUAAUUGUGAAAUAUCAUAAACGGCGGAUGGGUGUAUUUAUUGUAAUAUAUGUGAAAUUCAGACAAAUCAAAUAAUAAAGAAAAUGCCGCUGGAUUUUUGAUAGAAAAAGAGAUUUAUCAAAAAAUUAAGGUAAUAGAUAAAAUAACAAACUGUAUUAUUAAAUAAGGAAGUAAAUUUGUGAAGGAAUAAAUUAGUCAAGUAAAUGCAAAAUUUGAUUGUAUUUGAUUAGUACUUGGAAAUGAAAUUUUAAGUGAUGUUUUGAGAAUGAGUAAAGUAAAGAAAUUUAAGUAUUUUUAUCUCAAAAUCUUAUCAUAUUUAUUUGGUAAAAUAAAUAAGUAUAUGUAAAUAUAUUGAAACAAUCCGAAUUUUUAUUUUCAAAACAUUUGAUUUAAAUUUUAAUAGACUGACACCCUAGAAAAUUUAUCUAACCAAUUAAAUGUAAAUAUAUGAUUUGUAUAGUUGAUAACCCGAACAAAACCGAUUGAAAAAUCAAAAAUCAAUUGAAAACCAUGAUUUGAACCGAACCAAACCUGAAUCGAACCAAACCAGCCUAAACCAUCCAAACCCUUCUGGAAUUUUCCCUCUUUCUUCCUAUUUCUAGUGCUCACCUCACCCCUCUUCCCCGUUUUGCGCAUUCCCAGUUGCCGGCGAUCCUCUCGCGCCACUAGCACAUUGCCGCCCUCUCCCUCUCUCCUUCUCUUCCUCUUGCUCUCUUUCUCCGUCCCUAUUUCAGGUGAGCGCAAAGACCAUAGCAGCCGCGACUCUGCUAGCUUGAAGUCGUCGCGACUCCGGCGAACUCAACGACCCUCUCUGUCGCGCUGAUGAGCCUCCAUCGCGCCACUGCCGUUGCAACUCUCUUUCUUUCCCUUUCGCGAUCGCUCUCAGGGAACUCAGUAGCGCCAACAGCCCUGCUUCGAUCGCCGCUCUCUCCUGCUCGCGAUUCCGGUGAACGGCGCGACUUCCCUCCUGGAUCAAUGGGAACGCCAGAGACAAUUUUGUCUCGGUACGUUCGGCGCUCACUUUGACUUUCCGACGAACCUUGCGUGGUCAGGCGACUCCGGCGAGCACCACUGUCUCCUGCCAACGGAUUUCCGACAACGCUGAGUUUUGGAUUGUCCAGGCCCAUCUAUUGCUCCACAAGGUCAGAAUUAGAGUUAGAGCUUCAGCUUCCACCACUGUAAUAGGAAGCUACUGAAUCGACCGAAACUCUGCAAUUUUCCACAAAAGUAAAUUUAUAACUUUUUUUUGUUAUUAUUAUCAUUAACUAAUUUGUGUUAUUAAAUAUGUACACUAUUCUACUCUCAAAUUAUUGUUGAACUUCGCAGUCACAGGGUAUUGUGUAUUUUUUUUUAUUUGGAUGAUCUUGUUGUUUAAUUAAGCGCAUGUGAACUGGCAGCCCAUAUUAUGAAUGUGACGUAAUGUGAUUAGGUCCCGAUUAAAUUGUAUUCAAGAUAA